This 9661-nucleotide long non-coding RNA is filed under the name Brassica rapa (field mustard). Its description in RNAcentral is "long non-coding RNA (BRAP_LNC004107)". Lineage: Eukaryota; Viridiplantae; Streptophyta; Magnoliopsida; Brassicales; Brassicaceae. The record is from RNAcentral.
CCACCACCCAUAUAGAUUUUGAUUUGAAUGACAACCGCCUUACUGUAUAAAGGUCUUAUAACUAUUUGAGGGUUAUAAACUGGAAAGAUUCGCCGUCAUGCAUGUUGUUGCUUAGCCUAAUCUUUCUUAGUUCUCCAUCGCUGAUAGGCUUGUAUAGACGUGGAUGUUCAGCAUCCACAAAUUCACUUGGAGGCUCAACAACUUCAUCCAUUGGUGUUAAUAGGAAGGUGGAGGUGGUAAUCCUCAUUUUUGCUUCUUUGCAUUGCACUCUAUGCUUCACAUUGCACAUCCUCCCAUUGCUCCAUAUCUAUUAACAAAGUUUCAAAAACCAACAGCUAAAACCGAGUUUUUGUGGUUUAAAGUCAAAAACAUUAUUGAACUAUUAGUGAUGAUUUUUUUCUCUUACCUUAGCCAUGUCACCAAGGUUGACAGUAAGUGUGUUUGGUGACGUGUUUAUGGGGUAAUAGGUUCCUGAAGAAUGGUCCAUGGCCUCAAGUCCACCAACAUUGUCAUCACCGUGAACAAUUGUUAAAAAUCCAGGAUCCGUGUGUGUUAUCAAACCAUUUUUACCAACUUUUUCAGGAUUGAAAUGAUAUUUGCUAAUCCGAAACUGGCUCGGCCAUUCUUUGCAUAUAUCGGGAUCCGCUAACUCAUAACUCCUUGCUAACAUCCUUGUUAAAUCUUUUGCAAGACCAUCCAUAGCUUUGCCAUACUUCACCAUGAUCUCUCUACAACCAAAAAAAAAAAAAAAUCCCAUCCUAAACCGGAUAUUUAUUUAACAAAAACAUUGAACCGAAAAGCGGAUUAGGUACACACAUAACAAGAAUCCUUGGAGGCAAAAAGAAUAAAAACAAACAGGAAAAUCGCAUAAAAAACCUUCAAGGUGGCAGCCACUUGCACUUUAAACUUUGAAAGUAUUUCACAAGCACUUUAAAUCUUCAAAGUGACACUUUUAUCAAAAGAAACUUCCAAUCUGGCUUACUUGUACAUCAAGUCAAAAUGGUAACCGGUACUGUUCAAAAACGAUGAUGUGUCGGUUUUAUUUUUUAUCUUUUUUUAAAAAAAUUAUUUCAUUAAUAAAAUAAAUAUUAAAAUAAAGAAAAUAUAAAAAUUCAUAAAAAAAUUCAAAACAAAUCAUAAAAAUCACUAAAAAUUCACAAAAAAAUCAAAAUAUUCACCAAAAAAAAUUUAAAUUCUGUUAUUCAUAAAAUUAAUAUAAAAAUACAAAAGUAUACAAAAAUUCAUAAAAAAAUUGAAAAUAAAUCAUAAAAAGUCAAUAAAAUUCACAAAACUUCAUAAAAUUCACAAAAAAUAUUUUAAAUUAAAUAUAAAAAUAAUCAUAAACUUUUACAAAAAUAAAAGAUUCACAACAAUAUUUAUAUUAUUUUAUUAAUAAAGUAAGUAUAAAAUACAGAAAAUAUAAAAAAUCAUUAAAAAUUUGAAACAAAUCACAAAAAUUCACAAAAAUCAAGAAUAAAAUUAUAUGUGGUUUUAUAAAAGCGACUAAGGAAUAACGUGCAUUGAGUGCUAUAAACUGGCUACCCUCAAGCUAUCAUUAGUAUACAUUCUUCCCUUUAACAAUCCUGAACUUUUUCAAAUCCAACCAACACACACAUAGAACAUAACAGAUUAAAAAACCAAAAUAGCAGUCAGUCUCCGGGUUAUGAUUACUCUAAUUCAGAUUAGAAAAACUCAUUAUUUUAUAUUUAUUUUAUUAAUCAUAACCCAGAGACUGACUGAAUUUUUCUAAUCUAAAUCAGAGUAAUCAUAACCCAUACUACUAUUUUGGAUAUUUUUUAAUAUGUUAUGUUCUAUGUGUGUUGGUUGGAUUUGGAAAAGUUCAGGAUUGUUAAAGGGAAAAAUGUAUACUAAUGAUAGCUUGAGGGUAGCCAGUUUAUAGCACUCAAUGCACGUUAUUCCUUAGUCACUUUUAUAAAACCACAUAUAAUUUUAUUCUUGAUUUUUGUGAAUUUUUGUGAUUUGUCCCAAUUUUUUAAUGAUUAUUUAUAUUUUGUGUAUUUUAUACUUAUUUUAUUAAUAAAAUAAUAUAAAUAUUGUUGUGAAUCUUAUAUUUUUGUAAAAUUUUAUGAUUAUUAUUAAAUUAUUUUAUUAAAUUUUUUUGUGAAUUUUAUGAAUUUUUGUGAAUUUUAUUGACUUUUUAUGAUUUGUUUUGAAUUUUUUAUGAAUUUUUUAUAUUAUUGUAUUUUUAUAUUUAUUUUAUUAAUAAAAUAAUUUAAAAAAUUUUGGUGAAUAAUUUGAUUUUUUGUGAAUUUUUAGUGAUUUUUAUGAUUUUUUUGAAUUUUUAUGAUUUUUAUAUUUUCUUUUUUUAAUAUUUAUUUUAUUAAUAAAAUAAUUUUUUUAAAAAAAUAAAAAAAAUAAAACCGACACGUCAUCGUUUUUGAACAGUACCGGUUACCGUUUCGACUUGAUGUUUAAGUAAGUCAGGUUGGAGAUUUCUUUUGAUAAAAGUGUCACUUUGAAUGUUUAAAGUGCUUGUGAAAUACUAUCAGGGUUUAAAGUGUAAGUGACUGCCACCUUGAAGGUUUUUUAUGCGAUUUUCCCCAAACAUAUAGGAACAGAGAAAUACUAUUUGCUAUUUAAAUAUAGAGAAAAUAGAGAUUACUAUUUUUGUAAAAAAAAAAUGCUUUGAAGUAGAGUUAUUAUAUAGUUAAAUAUAGAGAUGCACUAGAAUGUUAUAAACGACAGUCAUAUAAGAGUGAAAAGCAAACGAACCUUUGUUCAGCAGAUGCCUCAAGUUUGUCACAAAAAGUGUUAAUCGCUUGUGGAGAGGCGACGUCAAAAAGACCGAACGAUUCAUAAAGAGGAUUUAACUCACUUCUAGGCUUGUAACCACUUGAUAGUAUCACAUCAGUGUUUCGUAUUUUCACCUCGUGUGGACGUUCAUGGAGAUCUGUAACAGUCUUCUUCAUCUCAGACAACAAAGACGAAGAAACUCCAUGGUUGAUCACCUUGAAACAUCCCCAUCUCUCACUCGCCUCACGUAUCCGCUGGUUCAGCUUCUCAUCCGGAACCCCUUUCAAGUCUAUUGUCGGAAUGACUUCAUUGAGAUCAGCCAUUAUGUUUUCUCUCAGUAAGUAUAUAUAUGAUAGGUAUUGUUUUCUUUGUCUUCAGGACAAGCCAUUGCACAAACUUAAAUAGAAGACCAUCCUCCGCGAGAAGGACGUAAUUAAUGAUGUACAGGAUUUGCCUUCUGCACCAAAAAGAUUUAUUUGUCUGAUCUCUUUCCUAAUCUAAUCAGUGAGGUAGUUGGAUUCGUGAUGGGACUUUCAGCAAAUCAGAGGAAAAAUGUUUAUAAAUCUGUAUGAUCGUAACUAAAUGAUGAAUAAGUGUCCAAAAAAGGGAAGAACGUGAAACACGUUACAGAUAAUAAUAUCCCACUAGAUAAUAACCGUGCUUUGUGCAGACUGUGAUUAUUAGUUUUUUUAUUUUUAAUAAAAAAAUAUUAAAUCUAUUUAAUUUGGAUAUUGGUUCGGUUUAAAAAUUUUUUUUUUUUGGUUUUCAAUUUUUAAAAUAUAACUAUUAUUUUUAAUUAAUAUUCAUUUUAGUUUAUUCGGUUAAAAUGUUUGAUUUUUUGGUAUUUUCUAAUAAAAACCAAAAAUUAAUAUUAUUUUUUAUUUUCAUGUUAUGAAUUUUAGAUAGUCAUCAUGUCGAACCAAUAGUUUCAUAUUAUAGUUUUUAAACAGAUACUAAUUUAAUUAAAAAAAAAACUAUUAAGACAAAUCAUUUCACUACAAUUUGGUCGAUAGUGAAAGAAGCAUUAAAAAAAAUAUUUCAACUUUCGAAAAACUAGAUACUUCAGUUGUGGUGAAUACUUAGUUACAAGAUGCUCACAUCAAAAAGUACAUGUAUGUGUAUGUAAAAAGUAUAUAAAAAUAGUUGACAAAUAUAUAAAUAUAUUGUUAAUUAAUAUUAAAUGAUAUUUUUGUUCAAAAUAAUACAUGAAAGAUAAAAUUAAAAUUAAUUUAAAAUAAAAAAGGCCUUGACAUUUGUCAUUUUUCAUAUAAAGAAAAUAAAAUUGUAUUCGUAAAUAGGGGUGAGCACAUAUCGAAUAUCUGGGUAUUUGAAAACAUUCGUGUUGAUUCGAUCUUUAGCCACCUAGAUAUUCGGUGACUCGAAUAUACGAAAUGUUUUAGAAUUUUAAGGAAUAUCCGAUUUGAUCCGCAAAUAAAACAAAAUUUUAAAAUAAUUGAAAAUUUUAAUAAUAACAAUUUCUUACAAAAUAAAGCAUUAUUUAAUUUUUUUAAUUCUAGUACCUAAUAUAAUAUAUUUAAUUCAUACAAAUAUUGUAAAUUUGAUAAAAAGUAUAAUAUAUAUAACAUAUAUAUAUAUAUAUAAUUCUUUACAUAUAUGUAUAUAUAUGCAUAUAUCAGAUCGAAUUAAAUAUAUGUUCUUAAAAAUAUUGGUAUUUGUGAUUUGCUUCUUUUUUGGUUAUUAUAUUUUAGUAUUUAUUUGUUUCGUAGAUUUACGGAUAUCCAGAUUUUUUUUGUUCAAAGCAAAACGGAUAACGAAUCGAAUCAAAAUUUAUGAAUAUUCUGCUCAACUUUAUUCGUAAACAAAUAAAAAUAAUAUAUAUAUAAUUUGGCUUUUGAUUCAUUAUCUAUUUUUAUUCGAACCGAAACAUCCAGAGUUCUAUUAGAACCAUGUAUGUGAGUUUUAUACUAUAAAAGUGCAAAAUACAUAGUGUGAACAUAUUUAUGAAUAUAGUGUGUAAGCGUUAGCAUACUUAUUAUCAAAUCAUUGUGAAGUAUCACAUGUUUAUUAUAGUGUGAAUGCAUUUAUUACAAUGCUUUUCUUUUAAUAUAUACUAGGUAAUAAUUCACGCCUUGCACAGAAUGUGAUUAUUAGUUUCGUUAUUUUUAAUAAAAAAACAUUAAAUCUGUUUAAUCUGGAUAUUGGUUCGGUUUUAAUUUUUUUUCUCGUUUUUAAUCUUCUAAAAUAUAACUAUUAUUUUAAAUUACUAUUUAUUUUAGUUUAUUCUAUUAAAAUGUUUAAUUUUUUGGUUUUUUCGGGUAAAAACUAAAAACUAAUAUUAUUUAUUUAUUUUCAUGUUAUGAAUUUUAGAUAGUCGUCAUGUGGAACCAAUAGUUUCAUAUUAUAGUUUCUAAACAGAUACUAAUUUAAUUAAAAAAAAAAUUAUUAAGACAAAUCAUGUCACUACAAUUUGGUCGAUAGUGAAAGAAGCAUUAAGAAAAAAUAUUUCAACUUUCAAAAAACUAGAUACUUCAGUUGUGGUGAAUACUUAGUUACAAGAUGCUCACAUCAAGGUGCACAUGCAUGUGUAUGUAAAAAGUUUAUAAAAAUAGUUGACAAAUAUAUAAAGAUAUUGUUAAUUAAUAUUAUAUACCAUUUUUGUUCAAAAUAAUACAUGAAAGAUAAAAUUAAAAUUAAUUUAAAAUAAAAAGGCCUUGACAUUAGUCAUUUUUCAUAUAAAGAAAAUAAAAUUGUAUUCAUAAAUAGGGAUGGGCACAGAUCGAAUAUAUGGGUAUUUGGAAGCAUUCAGGUCGAUUCGAUCCUUAGCCACCUAGAUAUUCGGUGAGUCGGAUAUCCGAAAUGUUUUAGAAUAUCGAUUUGAUCCAUAAAUAAAAUAAAAUUUUAAAAAUAAUUGAAAAAUUUAAUAAUAACAUUUUAUUACAAAAAUAAAACAUUAUUUAAUUUUCUAAAUUCUAGUACUAAUAUAAUAAAUUUAAUUCACAAAAAUAUUGUAAAACUGAUAUAAAGAAUAAUAUAUAUAACGUAUAUAUAUAUAUAUAUAAUUCCUUACAUAUAUAUAUAUAUGCAUUUAACAGAUCGAAUUAGAUAUGUGUUCCUAAAAAUAUUGGUAUUUGUGUUUUGCUUAUUUUUUUGGAUAUUGUAUUUUAGUAUUUGAUUUGUUUCGUACAAAUAUCUAUAUUUUUUUGUUCAAAUCAAAACGAAUAAUGAAUCGAAUCAAAAUUUAUGAAUAUUUUGUUCAACUUUAUCUGUAAACAAUAAAAAUAAAUGACGUUGCUAUAUUUAUUUUUCACAAUAAAUAUUGAAAUAGAUUAAAGAAAGUUAUCCCCCUAUUAACUAUUUCACAGGGAAUUUUAUAUUGUAAUAAGGUAAGUCAUUACAAACGAAUUAAGAAUUUAGAAACAUUAAGGUAAAUUGGCAUUUAAAAUUUUAAUAAAUGUGAUAAUAACUUGGGCAUGAAAUGUUUAAAAUAAAUAAAGUAACUUACAUUUAAACUAUUCAUAAGUUACUUUGCAACUUGCGCAAGAAAAAAAAAUUAUUCAUAAGUUACUUUGCAAAAUAAAUAAGGUAACUUACCUUUUAACUAUUCAUAAGUUAUUUUAAAAUUCUGAUAAAUUUAUUCUUUAAACAACGAUAAAUAAUUUAAAAAUAAUAUUAAUAAACAUGUUUGGAUUUUAUUAUAUUUAAAAUAGUUAUUAUAUAAUUAUAUUUGAAUACAAUUUAUCAAGUAGAGUAUAAAACUAUUAUAAUUAUCUUAUAUAAAAUUUCGUUCAUUAUAUUUUAUAGUUUAUAAAUAUUGAAAGUGAUAAAUAAAACAUUAUUAAUCUUUAUACAAUUUCGAGAAUUAGUUUCCAUAAAUUGUUAUUUGUAAUAUUCUUUAUAUUAUAUGGCAAGUGAUGUUAAAUGAUUUUAGACUUACCUUAAAUUUUUAAAUCUAAAUUAAAUAAAUAAAAAUUAAGAACAAUCGACCAAUCAAAUUAUAACAAUUAAAUUGAAACUUCACCUAUGAGCGACACAUCACCAUAAAUUACUAAAGUGACUUCUCUUUUAAUAUAUAUGGGAUGAUUUAUAUAGUUCCCUUUCUUCCAUUAACUAAAGUGUAAAAGCGAAAACUUUACUCUUUAACCUUUUGAAAUCUAUCUGAGCUCGGAGAAUUCUCCGGUAAAUAUCGUCGGUGCGGUUACGAUCGAUUGUCACUAGUCGAUGCUCGUCAGAGAGACGAAUUAGCUGAUGGUACCGAUGAGUCAACUCGCGAGUCGUAAUUAGGAAACUCGGUAAUCUAGAGAAGAUGAGCACGUGACUAGCACGUGGAAAAUUUAAUACUUUAUCUUUAUAAUUAAGCCCUUCAACUAUUGAUUAGAUUUGAUUAUGUUCCCCCAUGAUACAAUUAUAGUAUUCAACUACCACACGGGAUGAUUAAUUGCCAAGUUUUUAGAAUAUAAAGUAGGGUACAAUUGAAAAAUAACUUUGUACUUUAUAACAUGAGCCAAUAUGGAAACCAUAAAACAAUCAUGUAAUUUUGAAAAGCAUAUCCAUAUUUUUGUAGCUCGAAAAAUUAGUAUAAAUAAUCUACUCUAUUAAUUUAAAGUCCUACUUUUUAUCUACUUAAAAAUAUUGUCAUUUAAAUUUGGACUUAUUCACAUUUCAUUAGCAAUAGAUAUAACAUCCCUUAUAAUUUAGUUAUACAAUAUAUAUUUCAUUUAUGCAUUAUCUAAUAUAUAUAUAUAGAAACUUAUUUGGGAUCAAACUGUUAUAUAAGUCUCAAGAAAAAAAAUUAAGUGUUUUUUUUGUCGACAACAUUACAGACUCAUAUUGACCCUGUAAACCAAGCUGGGAGAUGUUGAUCUAUGUGAACGACGAAAGAUGGCUGAAUCCUGACACUGCGUGCUAGGCUAUCCGCCUUCGUAUUUUGCGUUCUUGGGACAUGAAUAAUCUCUGAGCAUAUGAAAUUCUCUUGCAAAUUCUUGAUAUCCUCCAAAUAACUUGCAAAAGCUGGUCAUUCCUCUCGUUUCAUUUUUCAACUUCUAAUAUCUCACAUCAAACAAAAAAAUCAGUUUUAUUAACAACGUCUAGUCUAACCAUUUUUCAUGAUGGGACUAAACCUAUACUAACGAAAAUCCUUUUAUUAAUCCUUUUAAACAUGGUUUUAAUUGUUUAGAUUACUUGUGGACAUUCUCAUGAUCAAAACAAAAACAACCAUUAUGUAUAAACUACAGUUGCAAGUUAGCUUUUAUGAGAAAUAAACUAUCUUAUAUACUUGUAAUCAAAAUAAAUAUGACCAAUGCUCAUAUGCAAACAAUCAUGGGCUUUGUUUAUAAUGUAAAAAAAUGAUAUUUUUAUUAAAUAUUUCAUAUGUUCUAGAUCUUUGUUUAUGAUGUGAAAUGUCAUCUAUUAAUUAAUAUAUAUUUAUACUAAUUUUAUCCAGAUAAAUAUAUAUCCAUCAAUCCAAAUCAUUUUUAAAAUAGGAUGCCAAUAAUAUAUUUAGUAACAAGAAAUUAUUUUUACUAAAUCUUAACAAUGUAUUCAAAAAAAAAAAAAUUGAAAAUAUUUUUGGUUGACAAAUAAUAAUUUAUUAGAAUAUUCUCCCUAUAUAUUCUUUGAAACUUGGUUCCAAAUCUGAAUAUAUUUUUUAAUUAAGAUAAUGCAUUCUUUUAACAAAAUGUUUUAGCAAUAGUGUUUCCUAAAAACAUUUUUAUUUAUAUUUAAUUUAUUUGCUCGUGUGGGACAUGGCAUCUCUAAUCCAUUAUUGCACACUGUUAAUUCAUAUUUUCUUGGCCAUAGUUGACCAAAAAAAUUUGAAGCUCACACUUUUUACAUUACUAAGAGAAAAUGAUGUAACUAUGAACUCAAUCUUGAUUACUGGUCUAAUUAAAACGAUAUUUGAAACUCACACUCUUUACAUUAUUAAGAAAAAAAAGAUGAAUCUAUAAACUUGAAUCAUGUAUUUUAUGAGUUUAAAUGAGUAAAUAAACAAUAAUAAUAAUCUGGAGGAAAGUUUAUACAAACCUUCAAUUUUGUUUUUGUUGAGAAAUCAAACAUUAGAAAUAGAUGAUUUAGAAUUCAGUAAACCUCAAGAAAAACAAGACUCAUAUAUGGUAGGUAUAGUAGACCAAAAAUAAGAAGCAUAACCAUUCAAAAACACUAACUUCUUUUAAAUCCGCGCUUAGUGCGGGUUAAGAAUCUAGUUGUAAUUAAAAUCUUAUAUUUUGCGAUUUGUCUAUGUUUAUGCAUGAUACUUGACAACGUUCUGAAAUUUGACAGACUCACAUUUAAAAGAAAAAAUGCAGACUCAGAAUAACCAGCGGUGGUAGUCCAGUGGUGUUUGAGAGAAAUAAAUCCAAUACGGCAAACCAUGGUUAGAAUCCCGCUGGCCACACGGAUAUGGACUAUUGCUUUGCUUUCGGCUCAUUUAAAUGCCUAAAAAAGGGUCUAUCUGUUGGCUGUACCUCCAUCCGGGAGUUAGCUCUGUGUCUUUAAUAAACUCGGGUUUAACCUUUUAUUUAAAAAAAAAUGCAGACUCAAAAUAUUGCUUCCAAUUUUUUAAAAAGAUAUCUCAUACAAUCAUUAUAUUAUACAAUAAUAAUCAUAAGAGAUUCAUCGAUCUUUAUUUGUAACUCUUAUUAGGGGAAUACAAUUUGGCAAACAAAAAAAAACUCUGAUAAAAAAAAACUCUUAUUAGGGGAAAACAAAACAUCUUCGUGAUUUGGAUUUGUAUGACACAUGUUCUUGGAGCCACCACCCAUAUAGAUUUUGAUUUGAAUGACAACCGCCUUACUGUAUAAAGGUCUUAUAAUUAUUUGAGGGUUAUAAACUGGAAAGAUUCGCCGUCAUGCAUGUUGUUGCUUAGCCUAAUCUUCCUUAGUUCUCCAUCGCUGAUAGGCUUGUAUAGACGUGGAUGUUCAGCAUCCACAAAUUCACUUGGAGGCUCAAC